Molecule: long non-coding RNA, 1874 nt
Organism: Impatiens glandulifera
Lineage: Eukaryota; Viridiplantae; Streptophyta; Magnoliopsida; Ericales; Balsaminaceae
Exons: 5
Source: RefSeq, a predicted model, not a curated record
UUUAUCUCUCCUGUUUCUUUAGGUUGCCGCCGGGAUGCUCGCCGGAAAAAGUUAGUCUGGCGAUUUCUUUUAAAGCUUGCUUUGUUGCAAUAGAAUCAGAAAAUGGCGAUUUACUAAACCCUAAUUACUUGGACAGUUCAUUACAUGAGGAAAUGAUAAUUUCUAUCUGCAGAUGUAAUGUCAUAUGAACCAGCUUGAUACAAGAUGACUAUGGCUAGAUAAUUUGGGAAUUUACUUUGCUGUUUAACCUUGAUUAGGAGAUUGUAGCCUGGAUAUUGACAAGGUACCCUUUUGUAUUCUAUAUCAACCACUCCAUAAGAAAAUAACUCUGCAGCUGAAUUCGGACGAGCCAAUCUUCCAUAUGCACGAGUGCUGAGAAUGAAAUCGGUUCUGUCACCUUCACCGUAGUUAUUUAUCUCUUAUUUUGAUUAACAUGCAAUGUGAUGUGAUGUAAUGAAAUGACCUGAUAGCAAGCUCCACAGCCAGUUCCAUUCCUCCAUAAUCGAGAGACUCCAGCGACAUUAGCAACAUUGAUGGUUCUUCCAUACUCUCCAUAUCCGCAAGCUCCAGCUAAGUUUUUUGGCAUUGAUUAUUAAUAGAAUGAAUUUAUGUAUUUUACAUGUAUCAUGUAUUAUGGGAAUUGAAACUUACUUGGGUUUCCUAGACAGUCGGGGCUUCCAUAGUAGGAUGCUCUAGAGGGGACAAAGUAGUCCUGACAGUAUGAAAGUGCUGGUAGAAGAGUAAGAGCACAUAGAAGGGAGUAGUAGUUUCUAGUUGGGAAACUCAUUUUUUCUUAUUGUUUGUGAGAUGGGAAGGUGAUAUGAAGAGUCUAUAUUUAUAAUUGAAUUGAGAUAGCAGCCAUUUAUGAAUGGUUACCUUUUUCUUCCACUGAGCUAGAUUUUAGAUGAGAAUAAGUAGAUGUCCAUAUUAUUAAAGAAUAUAAAAUGUGAUAUUAUUAUACAUGUGCUUUGUAGGAUCCAUCUAGUUUCAGAGGAUAGACUCCCCUUCCAUUUUUUUAUAAUACAGAACCGCUCUAGGGUGAUGCAACUUAUGCAUUAGAAUAUGGACACAUUCUCAGAGUGCCACGUAAAAAAAAUAAUUUUUUUUGCUAAAUAUGAACUUCAUUAUUGCCAAUGAGCCUUAUGUCACUUAACCGACUGCGACUUAGAUUGUGGUAUCUUGAAGGGUGUAGAACUUUGUCUCUAUUCUUUAUCAUUUUAUUGUUGUCAUUAGGAAGACUUUUGGGUAUGAAUAUUGGAGUUAUUUCUUCUUAGAAUUUUGUUCUCUUAUUUACUUCUUUUCCUUUAAUAUAUAUGUAUAGCAUCAAUUCUAUUUUUCAUAUCAUUUGAAUAUAUCUAUUAAAAGAAUUGUUUUUGCUUUUUCUUAAUAGUCACCUUCUUGAUAAAACCGUAAAUUUUAGGUGUACUAGAGCUCCAGGUCUUAUUUAUUGACAGAGGGCUUCAACAGUCAUAAAUCAUCCAACACAAUGUAUCACAAAUCAUUCAACAUAAUUUUUUCUUGUUUUUAUUAUUGGCAUUAUUUCCGUAUUCAUUUAGUAUCGUGCCAUUAGCAGAUUUUAGCACAAUUUUGAUAAUCUAGCUGCUGUCAUUUUGUAGACUUCAUCCAAGACUCAACUGUUAGGAUCUCUUGACAUCGUCCCACUUUUUGGCUUUGUCUCCAAAGCCACUUGACAACUUUUCACUCAAUUGUGCGGACCCCUUUAACAUCGUUCCACUUUUCAGCGUUUGUCUCAAAAGCCACUCUAUUUUGUUGAAUCAAGAUCCACCGAUCCCCUAAUUUAGGCUGAAAUUUUUUGCCUAGUUUUAAGGAGAUUGUUGAAUUAGCAAACUAGACAUAUUUAUAGUCUUUGUGUC